Molecule: ribosomal RNA, 254 nt
Filed under: uncultured bacterium
Lineage: Bacteria
Description: partial 16S ribosomal RNA
Rfam family: Bacterial small subunit ribosomal RNA
Source: RNAcentral
UACGGGGGGAGCAAGCGUUGUUCGGAUUUACUGGGCGUAAAGGGCGCGUAGGCGGUCGUGACAAGUCACCUGUGAAAUCUCCGAGCUUAACUCGGAACGGUCAACUGAUACUGUCAUGCUAGAGUGCAGAAGGGGCAAUCGGAAUUCUUGGUGUAGCGGUGAAAUGCGUAGAUAUCAAGAGGAACACCUGAGGUGAAGACGGGUUGCUGGGCUGACACUGACGCUGAAGCACGAAAGCUAGGGUAGCAAACGGG